This 206-nucleotide ribosomal RNA is filed under the name uncultured bacterium. RNAcentral's name for it is "partial 16S ribosomal RNA". It matches the Rfam family "Bacterial small subunit ribosomal RNA", at positions 116 to 334 of the family's 1533-position model. The record is from RNAcentral.
CGUGGGAAGUCUGCCCUUACGGUUCGGAAUAACAGUUAGAAAUGACUGCUAAUACCGGAUGAUGUCUUCGGACCAAAGAAUUUAUCGCCUAGGGAGUGAGCCCGCGUCGGAUUAGCUAGUUGGUGGGGUAAAAGGCCUACCAAGGCGACGAUCCGUAGCUGGUCUGAGAGGAUGAUCAGCCACACUGGGACUGAGACACGGCCCAG